Molecule: long non-coding RNA, 1013 nt
Filed under: Numida meleagris (helmeted guineafowl)
Lineage: Eukaryota; Metazoa; Chordata; Aves; Galliformes; Numididae
Description: lncRNA (ENSNMEG00000010404.1)
Source: RNAcentral
CAGGAUCUCUUUUUUUACAUCGAGAGACACAUUUUCAAUAGAGAAGAGGGUGCACCACGUCUGCUGAAAGCCCCUGGAAGUAAGAUUACAUUGCUAUCUCUGAAAAAAGCUGCCCUGUCCUCACUCCUCUCACAGUGCUUUGGUGACAAUUUGUGAGUAGCACCUCAAGUCUGAUUUUGGCAAGUGAAAUCAGCUUUGCAGCCCGCAUUACUGUGUCUCACCUGGCUGGGCCUUGCUGUAAUUCACAGCAGGAUAAAGCCUGCUCACACUGCUCCCAAGUAAAAGUAUUCUGGUCUCACUCUCUGACAUGGGCUAGCGUUCACUCUAAUCGUCUCCUGCUGGGGGCCAUGGAAAAUAAAGUAAGAUACUGCCUUUAAGUGGUGAGAGGUUGAGGUCUCUCUUUUGGAGGAAGUAUUCACUCAAGUGCUACAAACACCACGAAAACUGGACUAGGGCCAAAGCCAGGGAGCUGCAUCCCAUCCACUGCAAGGGAAACCAGCAAUCCGGGAGUGUGUUAUAGGAGAGAGCAAAGCAAACUGACCUCUGCGAUAAGCACGGAGGUGGUGGGAGCAGCGGAGCCAGGAGGCAGUUAUCACAGCUCUCUGUGAUGAAGUGGAUGCAAGAGCUAACGUAGCCCAGCGGUGAAUUUCAGCGGCAAAAAUGGAUCACAAAUAUAUCAGAAGGAAAAGAAAUGGAUAUUGCCUGCAGAGAGAGGCUCGGCGCUUUAUUGGGCUUCCAGGAGAAGUCGGCUCCAGCACACACAGGAAUUUUUGAGAAGAUGGUUUUCCAGCUACGUUAGAUUCUCUGCAAACAGACAGUGCUCCCUCACACUGCCAGUCUGGUUGGUGUCUUGCUGCCUUGCCUUCCUGAGGAGCCUCCUGAUAAGGCCCAUGCUGGGCUUUUCACCUCUACAGGAAGACCCCAAGGAGAGAAGCAAGAAAAGAGGCUGGUGUCAUAGCAUCAGUGACCUUGCUAACCACGUCUGCUGCCAUCUUGGAUCUCACAGCGUGUGA